This 62-nucleotide transfer RNA is filed under the name Ozobranchus jantseanus. RNAcentral's name for it is "tRNA-Trp". The record is from RNAcentral. Lineage: Eukaryota; Metazoa; Annelida; Clitellata; Hirudinida; Ozobranchidae.
AAGAUUUUAAGUUAACAAAACUAGAAGCCUUCAAAGCUUCCAUUGGUCUUUACCAAAUCUUG